UGCAGUCGAGCGGACUGGCCUGCAGCUUGCUGCUGGUACUCGAGCGGCGAACGGGUGAGUAACACGUGGGUGAUCUGCCCGCAACUUUGGGAUAACCCUGGGAAACUGGGUCUAAUACCGGAUAUGACCUUUCUUUUCUGGGGAAAGGGUUGAGCUUUUGCUUCUGGGGAUGAGCUCGCGGCCUAUCAGCUUGCAGGUGGGGUAAUGGCCUACCAAGGCUCCCACGGGUACCCGGCCUGAGAGGGCGGAGAGGCACAUUGGGACUGAUAUACGUGCCACACUCCUACGACAGGCACGGGUGGGGAAUAUUGCGAAUCUUCCGCAAUGCUGAAGCAUCGACCCCGCGUGCGGCAUGAGAGCCUUCGGGUUUUUCACUCCUUUCAACUGUGACGAAGCUUUUUGAGACGGACCCUGUAUAAUAAUCACCCCUUAACUACACGCCACCAGACGCCCACGUACAUAUGGUGCCAGCGUUGCCCGGAAUUACUGGGGGGAAAGAGCUCAUACGUGAUUAUUGGCGUCAUCUGUGAAAUUCCGGGUUUCUUCUCCGGGCGUGCAGGCCAUACGGGCUGACUUGAGUGCUGUUUGGAAGACUGGAAUUCCUGAGUGUAGAGGAGAAAUGCGCAGAUCUCCGGAGGAACACCAAUGGCGAAGACAUGUCUCUGAACACCUACUGACACUGAGGAUUCUUGGUCUGUAUAUGACACUGGAUUGCAUA
This 718-nucleotide ribosomal RNA is filed under the name Corynebacterium striatum. RNAcentral describes it as "bacterial SSU rRNA". It matches the Rfam family "Bacterial small subunit ribosomal RNA", at positions 57 to 784 of the family's 1533-position model. Lineage: Bacteria; Bacillati; Actinomycetota; Actinomycetes; Mycobacteriales; Corynebacteriaceae. The record is from RNAcentral.